RNAcentral lists this ribosomal RNA (253 nucleotides) under uncultured bacterium. Its description in RNAcentral is "partial 16S ribosomal RNA". It matches the Rfam family "Bacterial small subunit ribosomal RNA", at positions 524 to 776 of the family's 1533-position model. The record is from RNAcentral.
UACGAAGGGGGCUAGCGUUGCUCGGAAUCACUGGGCGUAAAGCGCACGUAGGCGGAUUGUUAAGUCGGGGGUGAAAUCCUGGAGCUCAACUCCAGAACUGCCUUCGAUACUGGCGAUCUUGAGUCCGGGAGAGGUGAGUGGAACUCCGAGUGUAGAGGUGAAAUUCGUAGAUAUUCGGAAGAACACCAGUGGCGAAGGCGGCUCACUGGCCCGGUACUGACGCUGAGGCACGAAAGCGUGGGGGGCAAACAGG